RNAcentral lists this ribosomal RNA (253 nucleotides) under uncultured bacterium. RNAcentral describes it as "partial 16S ribosomal RNA". It matches the Rfam family "Bacterial small subunit ribosomal RNA", at positions 524 to 776 of the family's 1533-position model. The record is from RNAcentral.
GAAGAACCGUGCAAACGGUGUUCGGAAUCACUGGGCAUAAAGGGCGCGUAGGCGGGCCGUCAAGUCAGGGGUGAAAUCCCCCAGCUCAACUGGGGAACUGCCCUUGAUACUGACGGUCUUGAGUGAGGUAGGGGUGUGCGGAACUGAUGGUGGAGCGGUGAAAUGUGUUGAUAUCAUCAGGAACUCCGGUGGCGAAGGCGGCACACUGGACCUUGACUGACGCUGAGGCGCGAAAGCUAGGGGAGCAAACAGG